UACGUAGGGUGCAAGCGUUGUCCGGAAUCAUUGGGCGUAAAGCGCGCGUAGGUGGCUUCGUAAGUCCGUUGUGAAAGUCGGGGGCUCAACCCUCGAAUGCCGGUGGAUACUGUCGGGCUAGAGUGCGGAAGAGGCGAGUGGAAUUCCUGGUGUAGCGGUGAAAUGCGCAGAUAUCAGGAGGAACACCUAUUGCGAAGGCAGCUCGCUGGGACGUUACUGACGCUGAGACGCGAAAGCGUGGGGAGCAAACAGG
RNAcentral lists this ribosomal RNA (253 nucleotides) under uncultured bacterium. Its description in RNAcentral is "partial 16S ribosomal RNA". It matches the Rfam family "Bacterial small subunit ribosomal RNA", at positions 524 to 776 of the family's 1533-position model. The record is from RNAcentral.